GAUGAACGCUGGCGGCGUGCCUAAUACAUGCAAGUCGAGCGAAUGGAUUGAGAGCUUGCUCUUAUGAAGUUAGCGGCGGACGGGUGAGUAACACGUGGGUAACCUGCCCAUAAGACUGGGAUAACUCCGGGAAACCGGGGCUAAUACCGGAUAACAUUUUGAACCGCAUGGUUCGAAAUUGAAAGGCGGCUUCGGCUGUCACUUAUGGAUGGACCCGCGUCGCAUUAGCUAGCUGGUGAGGUAACGGGUCACCAAGGCAACGAUGCGUAGCCGACCUGAGAGGGUGAUCGGCCACACUGGGACUGAGACACGGCCCAGACUCCUACGGGAGGCAGCAGUAGGGAAUCUUCCGCAAUGGACGAAAGUCUGACGGAGCAACGCCGCGUGAGUGAUGAAGGCUUUCGGGUCGUAAAACUCUGUUGUUAGGGAAGAACAAGUGCUAGUUGAAUAAGCUGGCACCUUGACGGUACCUAACCAGAAAGCCACGGCUAACUACGUGCCAGCCGCCGCUGUAA
This 515-nucleotide ribosomal RNA is filed under the name uncultured bacterium. RNAcentral's name for it is "partial 16S ribosomal RNA". It matches the Rfam family "Bacterial small subunit ribosomal RNA", at positions 28 to 523 of the family's 1533-position model. The record is from RNAcentral.